RNAcentral lists this unclassified non-coding RNA (393 nucleotides) under soil metagenome. RNAcentral describes it as "partial contains 5.8S ribosomal RNA, internal transcribed spacer 2, and large subunit ribosomal RNA". The stretch from base 1 to 122 matches the Rfam family "5.8S ribosomal RNA", at positions 35 to 154 of the family's 154-position model. The record is from RNAcentral.
GAUGAAGAACGUAGCGAAAUGCGAUACUUGGUGUGAAUUGCAGAAUCCCGUGAACCAUCGAGUCUUUGAACGCAAGUUGCGCCCGAAGCCACUAGGCCGAGGGCACGCCUGCCUGGGCAUCACACGUCGUUGCCCCCCCCCCAUCUACUCCUUCGGGAUUGCGGGGGGCGGAUGAUGGCCUCCCGUGCGCCUAGCCGCGCGGUUGGCAUAAAUACCAAGUCCUCGGCGACGCACGCCACGACAAUCGGUGGUUGCGAAACCUCGGUUGCCCGUCGUGUGCGUUCGUCGCGCAUCGAGGGCUCGAAAAAAUGCUCGGCUCCGGCUCGGCUUUCAACGCGACCCCAGGUCAGGCGGGGUUACCCGCUGAAUUUAAGCAUAUCAAUAAGCGGAGGA